Micropterus dolomieu (smallmouth bass) is the source of this 3271-nucleotide RNA transcript. It is a transcript of the gene named OX-2 membrane glycoprotein-like, with no coding region annotated. NCBI's taxonomy places the organism in Eukaryota, Metazoa, Chordata, Actinopteri, Centrarchiformes, Centrarchidae. The record is from RefSeq and is a predicted model, not a curated record. The transcript has 9 exons.
UCCAGUUUGAACUGUUGGCGGUUAAUUCAAAAUGCAGCAAUGUUUCACCGUGCAGUUUUACAUUUUCUUUGUACGUUUGGAGUCUUUCAGAGAGGAGAGGUUCAACCAGAGCAGUUAUAAAACUAGCGGGGACAGGUCUGGAAGUCAGGGAGGUCUAACAGCUCUGGUAGAAACACAGGAGACUGUAAUGGCAGCAGAAGGAGGAGAGGCUCGUCUCAGCUGUCUGCUGACGCAACCUAAAGAUGUUCUUCAGGUCACAUGGCAGAAACUGUUACCUGAGGGGGAGAAGACUGUUGGCACCUACAACAAACACUUUGGUCAGAAAGUGAGUUCUGACUUUAGAGAUAAAGUGAAGUUUGAAGCGGCUGGACUGCAGAACAGCUCCAUAGUUAUCAGGAAGGUGACGGAGCAGGAUGAAGGAUGCUAUCACUGUUUGUUUAACUCCUACCCUGAAGGUGCUCACACAGGUACAACCUGCCUCAAUCUCUACGAGCUGCAUGAACCCGUCCUACAUGUUGGAGAAUCAAACUCUGCUGAAGAGGCACUUGUGUCCUGCUCGGCCACAGGUCGACCUGCUCCCACAGUAACACUAAGUGUCCUGCCACACAACGGCCACUUUGCUAACCACAGCUCUGUGGGAGUCACCAACACCAACGGUACAGUCACUGUCACCACUACAGCUGUGCUGUCUCGUCUCCAUGACAACAUCACACAGGUUGGAUGUGCAGUGCGAGUGCUCUCUGCUCCUCAGAUAGAGGUGUUGGUGAUGAUUCCUGAGGUCAAACAGUCGUCUGCUGCUGGUUCUGAUGAGGAACCUGUAUCUGAUGACCAUGGACGCAGUAGGACUUCAUUAUGCAUCAUUGCAUCAUUCAUGGUAUGGGUCUGUUGUGCUGCAGUCAUCACCGUCCUGAUUAAACAAAGAAAAUCAAUGCAGUGUGACACACAGGGAGUCUGAGAUGAAUGAGAUGCAUCAAACUACAAACAGAGAUACUCAUGAGGCCGAACAAUUUUCUGUUACAUAGGAGAACCAUCAGAUCAGACAACGGCCAUCACCUGUAAAGAGUGAAGAAAGUGAUAACUCAAAUCCGUAACCUUCAACACCAAGGAGACUGGAAAUGUGGUUGGAUGUACUUAGUUUUAUGUGUAACAGUGAGUAGGAGAUGCACAACUACCAUUAAGUUUGUAUUACUGUUAACUAGGGCUGCACCAUUAAUCUAAUGGCAUUUACAAUCGUGACGUCACACUGUGCGAUUACUUAACCAUAGAAGGGUGCUAUUUAAUUAAACAAAAGUGUGCAGUAUGUAAGACACUCUGUGUGCACUGCAGUCUGCUCAUUAUCCAUGAUCAUUUCACUCGCAUAUAACACCAAAACAGAUAUGUGCAUGUAUAAAGACUACAACCGACCGUUCCUCUUUCCUCUCUAUUCAGCGGUGCGCUGAUGUAACAACUCAACCGGAAAGUGAAACUUCCACCUUGUAUCGUUUCCUAGCUAUCUUUCUUCAUAAUGUUCAGUUCACCAAAAACAGAAACAUAUUUAGUCGAAUAAAAGGCAGUUUUCCAGUCAUACAGUCAGGUUCAUACAUAUUUGGACAAUGACAGAUGUUUUAUUUAGACUUUUUUUCCAAAAACAUAUUCAAGUUACAGUUAAAUAGUUGCCUCUUCUUUUUCAAAGUACCAAAAGUAAUUGGACAAUUAACUCAAACUGUUUUAUGAACAGUUGUGGCUUAUUCCUUCGUUAUUUUUUCAUCAAUUAAGCAGGUAAAAGGAGUGAAGUUUAUUUCAGGUGUGGCAUUCGCAUAUGGAAGCGCUUGCUGUGAACCUGCGGUCAAAGGAGCUGAAAGGAGUGAAACAAGCCAUCUUUAGGCUGCACAAAAAAGGAAAAAAUCCAUCAGCAAGAUAGCAGUAAUUAAGUAAGUAGGUAUUAGCAAAAUCAACGUUUUUGUACAUUCUGAGAAAAAAAGAAUGCACUAGUGAGCUCAGCAACACAAAAACGGCUGGGUGUCCACAGAGGAUAACAGUGGUGGAUGAUAAUAGGAUUCUUUCCAUGGUCAAAAACAAAUAUUCUGCAACUCUAUUCUCAACCCAAUCGAGUGUGCAUUUCAUUUGUUAAAGACAAAACAUAAGGCAGAAAUACCCAUGAACAUAUAACAACUGAAGACAGCUGCAGAAAAGACCUGGAAAAGCAUGUUCCAGACUUCAAGCCUGUAAAAGGAUUCUCAACAAUGUAUUUAAAAUGAACAUUUCAUUUAUGAUUAUGUUAAUUUGUCUAAUGUGUCACUGUCCAAAUAUUUCAGGACCUAACAAUAUUUUGUCACUGAAGAUUUCUUAAAGUGCACUGAUACAUCCCUAAUUACUUUUAACAUUACAUUAACAAUAUACAAACAGUAUACUAUUAAAUGAACAUUAUACUUUAAAACAACCCAAAAGACUGAAGAAGUGCCAGAAUGUCGCACCUGAACAAAACUGCAUCAAAGCUUUGGAGACUAAAUGUUGAACAUUUGUAAGAGAAGUUAAAGAUUACACUGUGGACAUUGGACCUCCAUUACCUCUUUGUUCAACAAGUGAGAGAACAAUUACUACAAUUUAUUGUUUUCAAUUAGUAAUUUUUUUUAUACAAUUUUAAAUUGUGAUCACACCAUUAUGCUGCACAUACCAGUGAGUGCUCUGUUAGCUUUCUUGUGACUUGAUAUACACAGUAUAAGUUUUUUUUUUGUGUGUGUGUGUGUGUGUGUGUGUGUGUGUGUGUGUGUUUUUGUAAUUUGUCAUCUAAUGAUCUAAAUUAUGCUAAACAUGUGAAUAUAGAACAACUGAACAUAAAUAAUCUUAAACAGUAUUAACAGUAGUAACAUCAUGAAAAUGUGUGUGGUAUAUCAACAGAAAGGUGUUGAGAUCUUUGUGAUCGUUAAAAGAUUAGACUGUGUCUGCAAUCAAGGACAAAAUUGCAUUGACAUGUUUAAGUUGUAAAAUAGGAUAAUGUUAUCUUAGUUAUAUUUUAAAUACUGCAAAUAUCUGUAAACCCCAAUAAUCUCUCAAACUACACAUGCAGUAUAGCUUAGUUUCAUCAUGUAAACUUAAAUGAGACUGUGAAAUGUUUUUGUAUGGUGCUGGUUUUGUGUAAAUAUGUAUAAUUUCAUAUGGUUGGGGUCCCACAUAAGUGGUUUUGUCCACCUAGUUUCCUACAGCUGGGAGCUGGCAGCUAGUUGUUUUCAGUGUCGGUUGGUUGGUGUCUGUGUGAAAGCCAAUAAAUGCCACGCUUGUGCUUUGCAUUUUA